AGAGAAGCUGCUUCAAGCCGAGGGUAUCCACACGCCUUCACGUCAGCAGUGCCUGGGAAAGCUGGUGGUGCCAUUUGGACAAUAUGAACAUGCACCAUUUCGGUGGCUCGUUGCAAACGACGUGGGAUAUAUGAAGUAGUGAGUGUAUCAUAUAUUUAAUACCAUACUAUAGGCAGGUUUACUGAACUUCCAUUUACUGCACAUUUCCCCGUGUAAGGCUAUUAUCAGUAUAUCUUGUUCGUUGUAAACUUUCUUUAAGUGUGUAAUAUUCACGGAGAUAUUGCUGACAGUAUGUAUGAUUCCAGCAUACUUGACAGGCACAGAACAGAGGUGACAAAUCCACAAAGAAAGGGAGAGAUGGGGAACCAGUGGGUGAAGGAUUACCUCACAGAAUAUGCAGAAAGCUUCCCUCAAGUCUCCGUAGUCCUCGAGGCCAACAUUGACAGGUGCAUCUAUGGUCAGAAAGGGUUUGAAGAUCACACCUUUCAAGAGAUGUGGGAAUUAUAUUGUCAGUACAGCAGCCAAAAGGACAGACCUGAGAAGUUCAGUGAUGAGCAGAGGGAGGUCAUUCAGAGGCACACAGUUCUGUGAAGAGGUGGUUGAACACACCAGGGACGCACAUCACAAGCACCCAAAUGAAGAGGUUCAGAAAAUAUAUAUAUGACAAGGAACAAGUAAGUGCUAUGGAGGAGAACAGCAGAACAGGGCAGUAAAUGACUUAGUUAAAGAUAGUGAUAUGUGAUUAAUCUUGGCAAAGUGUGGAUGUGCAUUUUUUCCGUCAAUCGCAGUACUCACGAUAAACUGUAUUGUUUAGCAACAGCUGACAAGUACCCCCAGGUGUGAUCCUUCAUUGUGGCCAAGUGAUGAUGCUGAACUGAUAGCUGCAUCCCAGUCUGUGGAAGAUUCACUGAAGUCCCAACACUCCUUGUCUGCAAGUCAACCUUUAAAGCAACGGCUGACAAGCAGAGGUGUUUCCUCCUCCCAGACGUCUGGAACAUAGGAGAACUCAGCUCCCCUGUCCAAGGAGUUUGAGAACACUGUGGUGAAAAAGCUGUCUGGGGAAGGUCAAGGCUCAGCAGAAUGGCUCACCAGUAUCGGAAAUGAGCACUCACAAAUAGUUACAUUUGUGCUGACCUGCGAGGAGUCCUUUGCAAGCUGCAGCCAAUGUGCCGUGGAGUCAUGGAGAGGUUUCACUUGGCCAAUCAGCCUGUUCCCAAAAUUUUGUAUGUGGACCGUGGGUGUUGCCGUGCACAGGGACCAUCAGUAGUAGAGGCCUUGUUUCAGCCUUGGGUGGACAGUGGGAUGCUUGUGCGUCUGGACAUCUUUCACUGGAUCCACCGGUUUGAUGCAGCCAUCCUUACAGUCUCAUGCAAAGUACUCUGCAUUUAAGUCUGCAGUAGCUGGGGUGGUGCUGGCUUACCACCGCACAGACCUUGAGCUGCUUAUAAGGGCCGUCAGAGCAAAGAACCCAGUAAAAAUGCAGUCUGUGUCCGACGAGGAAGUUGUCCGCCUUUACAUUUCCAGGGAGCAGUUAAAACACCAUGUGCGCAGGGUCACACUUGGGGCUCAGGAAACGUUUCGGCUCAUCCAAUUGGUUAUCGAGGAGCUGAAAGGUCCAGCUGGGCUGGAUGAGA
Oreochromis aureus is the source of this 1634-nucleotide long non-coding RNA. NCBI's taxonomy places the organism in Eukaryota, Metazoa, Chordata, Actinopteri, Cichliformes, Cichlidae. The record is from Ensembl.